RNAcentral lists this ribosomal RNA (254 nucleotides) under uncultured bacterium. RNAcentral describes it as "partial 16S ribosomal RNA". It matches the Rfam family "Bacterial small subunit ribosomal RNA", at positions 524 to 776 of the family's 1533-position model. The record is from RNAcentral.
CACGUAGGGGGCAAGCGUUGUUCGGAAUUAUUGGGCGUAAAGGGCGCGUAGGCGGCCCUGUCAGUCAAGCGUGAAAGCCCCGGGGCUCAACCCCGGAAUUGCACUGGAGACGGCCAAGCUUGAGUGUGGGAGAGGAUGGUGGAAUUCCCAGUGUAGAGGUGAAGUUCGUAGAUAUUGGGAAGAACACCGGUGGCGAAGGCGGCCAUCUGGACCAUUACUGACGCUGAGGCGCGAAAGCGUGGGGAGCAAACAGG